AUGGAAAAUUUUGUAGGGCUCUCAAGAGUGUUGUUCAAAACAAAACGGGUUAAUGGUGUUUUCCUGAAGAAGAAGAAAUGGGGCUUUAUGUUGCCUUUACAGAUACAGAGACCUUCAAGACUGAGAAACUGAAAGAGCUAAAAUGAAUGGAUUUUAGGCCAGCCUAAGGUUGACUUCAUCUCACUGCAAUGGUCACUGAAAUUUAAGCAUGUCCUUAAUGUGGUUUGCCUCUCUUGCCCUACUACUGCUGCUGGCUGGCCUGUGAAAGAACACAAACCAGAAAGAAUUACUGGGUCGGACUAAAACCUGCAAUUAGUCAGAAGUAGGGGCACAUACUGUGCAUACGUGAAGCCU
Molecule: long non-coding RNA, 354 nt
Filed under: Apteryx rowi (Okarito brown kiwi)
Lineage: Eukaryota; Metazoa; Chordata; Aves; Apterygiformes; Apterygidae
Description: lncRNA (ENSARWG00000000944.1)
Source: RNAcentral